Molecule: ribosomal RNA, 507 nt
Filed under: Prodorylaimus mas
Lineage: Eukaryota; Metazoa; Nematoda; Enoplea; Dorylaimida; Dorylaimidae
Description: SSU rRNA
Rfam family: Eukaryotic small subunit ribosomal RNA
Source: RNAcentral
CGCGAAUAGCUCAUUACCACAGCCAUCGUUUAUUAGAAUAUCGUUAUCCUACUUGGAUAACUGUAGCAAUUCUAGAGCUAAUACAUGCAAUCAAGCUCCGCCCGCAAGGAACGAGCGCAUUUAUUAGAAUAUAAACCAAUCGCGUUUCGGCUCGUAAUUUGGUGAAUCUGAAUAACUUUGCCAAUCGCACAGUCCUAGUACUGGCGAUGUAUCUGUCAAGAGUCUGCCUUAUCAACUUUCGAUGGUACGCUAUACGCCUACCAUGGUAGUAACGGGUAACGGAGAAUAAGGGUUCGACUCCGGAGAGGGAGCCUGAGAAACGGCUACCACAUCCAAGGAAGGCAGCAGGCGCGCAAAUUACCCACUUCCAGAACGGAGAGGUAGUGACGAAAAAUAACGAGACAGUCCUCUUCGAGGUCUGUCAUCGGAAUGGGUACAAUUUAAAUCCUUUCAUCGAGGAUCUAUUGGAGGGCAAGUCUGGUGCCAGCAGCCGCGGUAAUUCCAGCU